UGGACAGAUUAUUGUAUUCGACUGUAUUCAUGGCGUGAAACAGGGGAUUACACUGUUUUUAAACGGAAAGUGUAUCAAUUAACAUAAUAGACUACU
This 96-nucleotide microRNA precursor is filed under the name Nicotiana attenuata. RNAcentral's name for it is "MIR6152 microRNA precursor family". It matches the Rfam family "MIR6152 microRNA precursor family". The record is from Rfam by way of RNAcentral. Lineage: Eukaryota; Viridiplantae; Streptophyta; Magnoliopsida; Solanales; Solanaceae.